RNAcentral lists this long non-coding RNA (906 nucleotides) under Bos grunniens (domestic yak). Its description in RNAcentral is "lncRNA (ENSBGRG00000008594.1)". The record is from RNAcentral. Lineage: Eukaryota; Metazoa; Chordata; Mammalia; Artiodactyla; Bovidae.
CGGUGGAGACAGGAUGUCCCAGGUUCGCAGGGACGGCAGUCGCCCAACCCACAACCGGCCCCACCCUCCCGGGAGGGAGCGCUAGUCCCCUCCCCAAGUUCCAUCCCCACCCCCAGCUUCCCAGGGCUGAAACCCCGGGAACUGCCGGGCCAGGGAAGGGGCGGGACUGACUCGUGCCGUACCUGUCCGCGGGAUUUCCCGAGCCCUGCCCGGCCGCCCCGGGAGCGGAGUGGCGAGCCGGACUCCGAGUCGACCCGACCCCGGGGCAGCACCGGAGCGGACCGGGCAGCAGUGGGCGCUCGCGAUCCUCCUCGGCCCGACACGCUCUCCCUUCGGGCCCGGCCUCCUCUGUCCCCUCCUCCCGCUCCCGCUCCUCCCUCUGCUCCUCCCCUCGGCGGCGGUGAUAACCUCGCCUCCCCGCCUGCAAAGUCCCCGGCGCGAGGGCAGCCGCGAACCGCCGCCACCACUGGGUCUCCGCGGGCGCCUGCGCCGGUGUCUCGCCCUCCGGCCCGGGUCGUCCUGGAAAAACUCGCUCCGCUGGCCGCCGGGGCUCCACGGCGCUGCCCAUGGCCAAGCCCAGGAGCCGACUUCGGGCGCCGGACCGGCUGGACAGCCGAGGCGCGGCUCAGAAGAGUCAGGAGGUUUGCAUCUGCCCGACGCGUCUCUCUAGGACCGACCGUGAGGGGCAGUAGGAGCGCAAAGCUCCGCGGAGCCUGGGUACCACUCUGGCUGGCAACUGGGGCGGGGAUAACAGCAAAAACUCCGUCUUCAGGGAGCAUCCAGGGUGGGGAAACCUCAGUGCGGUUAGCUUUGGGAACGAAGCAGAGAUGGGACAUCUCCCGAGGGGCGGGCAAAGCUCGGGAGGAGAGAGAUGGAAGCGGCGGACAGACACACCUUGGGUGGUGA